GACCUUGUGGUACAAUGGUAGUGUGUCUGACUCCCCCUCAGAAGGUUAUGUGUUAAAAUCAUGUUGUGAUCA
Molecule: transfer RNA, 72 nt
Filed under: Scleropages formosus (Asian bonytongue)
Lineage: Eukaryota; Metazoa; Chordata; Actinopteri; Osteoglossiformes; Osteoglossidae
Rfam family: tRNA
About the family: Transfer RNA (tRNA) molecules are approximately 80 nucleotides in length. Their secondary structure includes four short double-helical elements and three loops (D, anti-codon, and T loops).
Source: Rfam by way of RNAcentral